Molecule: long non-coding RNA, 957 nt
Organism: Puntigrus tetrazona (Sumatra barb)
Lineage: Eukaryota; Metazoa; Chordata; Actinopteri; Cypriniformes; Cyprinidae
Exons: 3
Source: RefSeq, a predicted model, not a curated record
UUUUAACUGUGUCUCAGAGUGCAGGCACAGGUUGUUUUCCUGAAAGUCCAGCUGAGCUCAGGUUUACUUGUGGACCCUGGCCUCCAGCGUGCACCUUUUUUUGCUGAUGCCUGCCUGAAGACAGUCUUCUUCAUCGUGUGCCCUUUUUCAGCCCCUCAACGGCGCUGAAGGAGGGAGUGUGUGUCAUAUCUUGUUGAAAUGCCUUUGGUCAUAUUUCAGAGGAAUCUGUCUCUGCUGGCACCAUGAAAUUAUUCGCCUAGCCCCUGCGCAAGAAAAAAUGCUAGUUAGAGGCCGACCGCUUGCUUCUGAACGAUCAGACUUGUCAUGCCACUACGUCUGCCAUCGGCCCACUUAUGCUGGGAAUGUGUUGUUGGAGUCUGGAAGAAUGACGGGGAAGUUGGUCGUCAUGACGGGAGAGGCUGAGAAAGCCGUUCUGAUGUCUCACGGACGUGACAGCGGAUCUGAUGAAAGGAGGGGGCCACCGGCUGCAAGGAAUGGAAGACACCAUUUUGACUGUUUUGUGAACAAGAAAUGUUAUUCCCAUUUUAUUAACUGAAUAUUAUUUAAUAUAAAAAUAAGUUAUAUAAAAAAAAUAACUUGCAACAAAAUGUAAUGAUUAUGAAAUUGCUUCUAUUAUGCUGUAAAAUUAUUUCCGUAUUAUGAAAUUACAAUUUUUUUUGUGCUUAUGUGCUUGUCAUUUUUUUCAAUUUAGCUUUAUAAUCAGUUUUAUUUUGAAUAAUUUUAUUACUUCAGCUAUUUUUUUACAGUUAGUCACUAAAAAGAUUGUUUGCCAUCUGAUAUUUACAUUUCAUUACAUGUAAAAAAUGUUUAAUGUUUGUUAACAUUGACUGAAAAAUAAUUUUAUUAAUAUUAUAUUUACACUUUGUAAUGUUGUUUUUUCACAACCCAUAGGCAAAAUUGUUUUUAUCACUGUCACUCUAGGUGCAAUUAAUUUCA